RNAcentral lists this long non-coding RNA (503 nucleotides) under Homo sapiens (human). Its description in RNAcentral is "non-protein coding lnc-JUN-6:2". The record is from RNAcentral. Lineage: Eukaryota; Metazoa; Chordata; Mammalia; Primates; Hominidae.
AUCCCAGGCUGAGGGAGUUCGAGGUUUGGGAGACAGUUUAGCAGUCGCUGAGUCCAAACAUGUUGUUUUCCUAGAAAAGAAAACUGAGAUCCAGGAAAGGGAAGUGAUUUUCCAAAGACACACCUGUGAAAGGUGAGGAGAACAGCCCAGUGAGGCUGAGGCCACACAAUUAACCCCAGUCUUUGCACUACAACUCUACCAGGGAUCCUGGUUUGGCUCAUUUUCUUUCUUCUGCACCAUGAUUGUUCACCUUUUCAUUACCAGCAACAUACCCAAAGACCUAGCUAUAGACUCGUUGGAAUCUGUUACUUAGCAGCUGUGUGAAUCAAGUGUUCAAUAGGAAUAAUAAGAUGUAUUCAUCUUACCUUUUCAGAACAUUAUGAAGAACAAAUGUGGUAAGACAUAUGAAAAUGCUUUGUAAAGUGUUAGAUGCUUAAUACACAGAAGACAUUGCUUCCAGAUCUGUUUCAACGUACCCCAAGAAUGGAAUAAGUGGAAUAUGC